Molecule: ribosomal RNA, 554 nt
Filed under: Rangifer tarandus (reindeer)
Lineage: Eukaryota; Metazoa; Chordata; Mammalia; Artiodactyla; Cervidae
Description: partial 16S ribosomal RNA
Rfam family: Bacterial large subunit ribosomal RNA
Source: RNAcentral
GCAUAACUAGUAUUGGAGGCACUGCCUGCCCAGUGACAAUCGUUAAACGGCCGCGGUAUCCUGACCGUGCAAAGGUAGCAUAAUCAUUUGUUCUCUAAAUAAGGACUUGUAUGAAUGGCCAAACGAGGGUUUUACUGUCUCUUACUUCCAAUCAGUGAAAUUGACCUUCCCGUGAAGAGGCGGGAAUAUAUCAACAAGACGAGAAGACCCUAUGGAGCUUUAACUACUUAGCCCAAAGAAAUAAAUUUAACAACUAAGGAAACAACAAUACUCUUUAUGGGCUAACAGCUUUGGUUGGGGUGACCUCGGAGAACAGAAAAUCCUCCGAGCGAUUUUAAAGACUAGACCUACAAGUCAAAUCACACAAUCGCUUAUUGAUCCAAAAAAUUGAUCAACGGAACAAGUUACCCUAGGGAUAACAGCGCAAUCCUAUUCAAGAGUCCAUAUCGACAAUAGGGUUUACGACCUCGAUGUUGGAUCAGGACAUCCCGAUGGUGCAACCGCUAUCAAAGGUUCGUUUGUUCAACGAUUAAAGUCCUACGUGAUCUGAGUUC